UUUUUUUUCAUUAGUUUUUAAUAUUAGAUUUGUUCUUUAUUGUUUUGAUUACUAUUUAUUUAUUUUUUUGAAUUUUUUGAUGGUUAAAAAUUUUAUUCAAGAUUAUUUUUGGUCUUCUUAUGGUCAUCUUGGUCUCAUGACCAAAGUUACUGGUUUUGAAGAUUAGCCCGAUUUAACUUCUUCUUUUUAUUCUUUGUUAUUAG
Molecule: long non-coding RNA, 203 nt
Filed under: Populus trichocarpa (black cottonwood)
Lineage: Eukaryota; Viridiplantae; Streptophyta; Magnoliopsida; Malpighiales; Salicaceae
Description: long non-coding RNA (PTRI_LNC002943)
Source: RNAcentral